RNAcentral lists this ribosomal RNA (1502 nucleotides) under Escherichia coli. RNAcentral's name for it is "partial 23S ribosomal RNA". It matches the Rfam family "Bacterial large subunit ribosomal RNA", at positions 135 to 1680 of the family's 2925-position model. Lineage: Bacteria; Pseudomonadati; Pseudomonadota; Gammaproteobacteria; Enterobacterales; Enterobacteriaceae. The record is from RNAcentral.
GUGUUUCGACACACUAUCAUUAACUGAAUCCAUAGGUUAAUGAGGCGAACCGGGGGAACUGAAACAUCUAAGUACCCCGAGGAAAAGAAAUCAACCGAGAUUCCCCCAGUAGCGGCGAGCGAACGGGGAGGAGCCCAGAGCCUGAAUCAGUGUGUGUGUUAGUGGAAGCGUCUGGAAAGGCGCGCGAUACAGGGUGACAGCCCCGUACACAAAAAUGCACAUACUGUGAGCUCGAUGAGUAGGGCGGGACACGUGGUAUCCUGUCUGAAUAUGGGGGGACCAUCCUCCAAGGCUAAAUACUCCUGACUGACCGAUAGUGAACCAGUACCGUGAGGGAAAGGCGAAAAGAACCCCGGCGAGGGGAGUGAAAAAGAACCUGAAACCGUGUACGUACAAGCAGUGGGAGCCUCUUAAUGGGGUGACUGCGUACCUUUUGUAUAAUGGGUCAGCGACUUAUAUUCUGUAGCAAGGUUAACCGAAUAGGGGAGCCGAAGGGAAACCGAGUCUUAACUGGGCGUUAAGUUGCAGGGUAUAGACCCGAAACCCGGUGAUCUAGCCAUGGGCAGGUUGAAGGUUGGGUAACACUAACUGGAGGACCGAACCGACUAAUGUUGAAAAAUUAGCGGAUGACUUGUGGCUGGGGGUGAAAGGCCAAUCAAACCGGGAGAUAGCUGGUUCUCCCCGAAAGCUAUUUAGGUAGCGCCUCGUGAAUUCAUCUCCGGGGGUAGAGCACUGUUUCGGCAAGGGGGUCAUCCCGACUUACCAACCCGAUGCAAACUGCGAAUACCGGAGAAUGUUAUCACGGGAGACACACGGCGGGUGCUAACGUCCGUCGUGAAGAGGGAAACAACCCAGACCGCCAGCUAAGGUCCCAAAGUCAUGGUUAAGUGGGAAACGAUGUGGGAAGGCCCAGACAGCCAGGAUGUUGGCUUAGAAGCAGCCAUCAUUUAAAGAAAGCGUAAUAGCUCACUGGUCGAGUCGGCCUGCGCGGAAGAUGUAACGGGGCUAAACCAUGCACCGAAGCUGCGGCAGCGACACUAUGUGUUGUUGGGUAGGGGAGCGUUCUGUAAGCCUGUGAAGGUGUACUGUGAGGUAUGCUGGAGGUAUCAGAAGUGCGAAUGCUGACAUAAGUAACGAUAAAGCGGGUGAAAAGCCCGCUCGCCGGAAGACCAAGGGUUCCUGUCCAACGUUAAUCGGGGCAGGGUGAGUCGACCCCUAAGGCGAGGCCGAAAGGCGUAGUCGAUGGGAAACAGGUUAAUAUUCCUGUACUUGGUGUUACUGCGAAGGGGGGACGGAGAAGGCUAUGUUGGCCGGGCGACGGUUGUCCCGGUUUAAGCGUGUAGGCUGGUUUUCCAGGCAAAUCCGGAAAAUCAAGGCUGAGGCGUGAUGACGAGGCACUACGGUGCUGAAGCGACAAAUGCCCUGCUUCCAGGAAAAGCCUCUAAGCAUCAGGUAACAUCAAAUCGUACCCCAAACCGACACAGGUGGUCAGGUAGAGAAUA